Molecule: ribosomal RNA, 1305 nt
Filed under: Alvinocaris chelys
Lineage: Eukaryota; Metazoa; Arthropoda; Malacostraca; Decapoda; Alvinocarididae
Description: 16S ribosomal RNA
Rfam family: Bacterial large subunit ribosomal RNA (bases 841-1233)
Source: RNAcentral
AGUUAUAUCUUGUUGGAGGAGCAUGGUUUGAGAGAUUUAAAAUUUGAAGAAGCAGAAAGGUUAUAAGUUGAGUAUAUUUUAUAGAAAGAUUGUAGUUUGACUAAAGUGUAGUAGUAUUGUAAAAGAAAGAGUUAAUUAUUUUGGAAGAAAGAAAUUAUGAAGAAUUGUACCUUUUGUAUCAGGGAGAAUUAAAAUUAAAAGUUUAUUUAUUUUAAUCUCGAAACGAAAAGAGCUAAGGUUUAAAGCAUGGUUGUGUGGUAAAAUAACAUGUAAUUUUACUUUAGUAAUGAUAUUUUAGUCGAGUUCUGUAUAUCUAGUUCUCUUUGAGAGGAAUUUAAUUUCGUUUUUAUACUUUGUUAGUGUAAAAUUAAAGGUUAGGAGGGAUAAGCUUCUUAGCAGUGCUAUAAGGAAAAAGAGUUUUGUUUUUAAAUUAGGCUUAAGAGCAGCCAAAUUAAUAAAGCGUUCUAGUUAAUUUAUUGUUUAAGUAGAUUUAUAUGUUUGUUUAGUUAGUUAGGGGAGAAUAAGUUAGAGUUAAGUAGGUUUAACUGAAAUGAUUUUAUUAGUAUGUUUAUUUGUUAAAGGAUUGCAGUAAAAUAUCUGUGAAAUAUUAAUUAAUUGGGAUGUAGAUAAGGAACUCGGCAAGUAUUAUUUUUGCCUGUUUAUCAAAAACAUGUCUGUAUGGAGAAAAUAUAGAGUCUGGCCUGCCCACUGAAAGUUUUAAAGGGCCGCGGUAAUUUGACCGUGCGAAGGUAGCAUAAUCAAUAGUCUCUUAAUUGGAGGCUGGAAUGAAUGGUCGUACAAAAAAUAAUCUGUCUUGAUUGCAGAAAUAGAAUUUUACUUUUGAGUGAAAAGGCUCAAAUGUGUUAAAGGGACGAUAAGACCCUAUAAAACUUUAUAUAAUGAGGUCAAUUUUUGAAUUUAGUGUUAAAGUGAAUUGGGCUUUAUUUAUUAUGUUGGGGCGGCAAAAAUAAAAUGAGUAACUGUUUAUAAAUUAAAAUAGAUAUAUUUAGAAGAGUGAUCCUUUUUUAGGGAUUAGAAGAAAAAGUUACUUUAGGGAUAACAGCGUAAUUUUUUCUGAGAGUUCUUAUCGACGAAAGUAGUUGCGACCUCGAUGUUGAAUUAAGAUUUCCCUAAGGGGUAGAAGUUUUAGUGGUAGGUCUGUUCGACCUUUGAAAUCUUACAUGAUUUGAGUUCAAACCGGUGUGAGCCAGGUUGGUUUCUAUCUUUUAAUUUUUUGGGGGCUAUUUUAGUACGAAAGGACCGGAUAGUUGGAAUAAUUUUUUUAAGAAGAAGAAUAUUAAUUUU